AAGGGCUCGUAGGCGGUUUGUCGCGUCGGGAGUGAAAACGCCGUGCUUAACACGGCGCUUGCUUCCGAUACGGGCAGACUAGAGGUAUUCAGGGGAGAACGGAAUUCCUGGUGUAGCGGUGAAAUGCGCAGAUAUCAGGAGGAACACCGGUGGCGAAGGCGGUUCUCUGGGAAUGACCUGACGCUGAGGAGCGAAAGUGUGGGGAGCGAACAGGAUUAGAUACCCUGGUAGUCCACACCGUAAACGUUGGGCGCUAGGUGUGGGGUCCAUUCCACGGAUUCCGUGCCGCAGCUAACGCAUUAAGCGCCCCGCCUGGGGAGUACGGCCGCAAGGCUAAAACUCAAAGGAAUUGACGGGGGCCCGCACAAGCGGCGGAGCAUGCGGAUUAAUUCGAUGCAACGCGAAGAACCUUACCUGGGUUUGACAUACACCCUGCCGCCUCAGAGAUGGGGCUUCUUUUGGGGGUGUACAGGUGGUGCAUGGCUGUCGUCAGCUCGUGUCGUGAGAUGUUGGGUUAAGUCCCGCAACGAGCGCAACCCUCGUUCUAUGUUGCCAGCACGUAAUGGUGGGGACUCAUAGGAGACUGCCGGGGUCAACUCGGAGGAAGGUGGGGAUGACGUCAAGUCAUCAUGCCCCUUAUGUCCAGGGCUUCACGCAUGCUACAAUGGCCGGUACAAAGGGCUGCGAUCCCGUAAGGGGGAGCGAAUCCCAAAAAGCCGGUCUCAGUCGGAUUGGGGUCUGCAACUCGACCCCAUGAAGUCGGAGUCGCUAGUAAUCGCAGAUCAGCAACGCUGCGGUGAAUACGUUCCCGGGCCUUGUACACACCGCCCGUCAC
Molecule: ribosomal RNA, 835 nt
Filed under: Nocardioides sp. KC03
Lineage: Bacteria; Bacillati; Actinomycetota; Actinomycetes; Propionibacteriales; Nocardioidaceae
Description: bacterial SSU rRNA
Rfam family: Bacterial small subunit ribosomal RNA
Source: RNAcentral